AGAGUUUGAUCCUGGCUCAGGACGAACGCUGGCGGCGUGCCUAAUACAUGCAAGUCGAGCGCGGGAAAUAAGCUGAUUCCUUCGGGAUGACGCUUAUGGAACGAGCGGCGGACGGGUGAGUAACACGUGGGUAACCUGCCUGCGAGACUGGGAUAACUUGCGGAAACGUGAGCUAAUACCGGAUAAUACUUUCUAUUGCAUGAUAGAAAGAUGAAAGACGGCGUAAGCUGUCACUUACAGAUGGACCCGCGGCGCAUUAGCUAGUUGGUGAGGUAAGGGCUCACCAAGGCGACGAUGCGUAGCCGACCUGAGAGGGUGAUCGGCCACACUGGGACUGAGACACGGCCCAGACUCCUACGGGAGGCAGCAGUAGGGAAUCUUCCGCAAUGGACGAAAGUCUGACGGAGCAACGCCGCGUGAGUGAUGAAGGUCUUCGGAUCGUAAAACUCUGUUGUUAGGGAAGAACAAGUUAGGUAGUAACUGACCUGACCUUGACGGUACCUAACCAGAAAGCCACGGCUAACUACGUGCCAGCAGCCGCGGUAAUACGUAGGUGGCAAGCGUUGUCCGGAUUUAUUGGGCGUAAAGCGCGCGCAGGCGGUCUUUUAAGUCUGAUGUGAAAUCUUGCGGCUUAACCGUAAGCGGUCAUUGGAAACUGGAGGACUUGAGUACAGAAGAGGAGAGUGGAAUUCCACGUGUAGCGGUGAAAUGCGUAGAGAUGUGGAGGAACACCAGUGGCGAAAGCGACUCUCUGGUCUGUAACUGACGCUGAGGCGCGAAAGCGUGGGGAGCGAACAGGAUUAGAUACCCUGGUAGUCCACGCCGUAAACGAUGAGUGCUAGUU
RNAcentral lists this ribosomal RNA (844 nucleotides) under uncultured bacterium. RNAcentral's name for it is "bacterial SSU rRNA". It matches the Rfam family "Bacterial small subunit ribosomal RNA", at positions 8 to 821 of the family's 1533-position model. The record is from RNAcentral.